Molecule: transfer RNA, 71 nt
Filed under: Marmota monax (woodchuck)
Lineage: Eukaryota; Metazoa; Chordata; Mammalia; Rodentia; Sciuridae
Description: tRNA.Ala
Rfam family: tRNA
About the family: Transfer RNA (tRNA) molecules are approximately 80 nucleotides in length.
Source: RNAcentral
GGGGUUGUGGCUCAGUGGUAGAGCACUCACCUGGCAUGUUUGAAGUCCUGAGUUCGAUCCUCAGCACCACA